UACAGAGGGUGCGAGCGUUGUUCGGAAUUAUUGGGCGUAAAGAGCUCGUAGGCGGUUUGUCGCGUCGAAUGUGAAAUCCCGGGGCUCAACCCCGGGCCUGCAUUCGAUACGGGCAGACUAGAGUUCGGUAGGGGAGUCUGGAAUUCCUGGUGUAGCGGUGAAAUGCGCAGAUAUCAGGAGGAACACCGGUGGCGAAGGCGGGACUCUGGGCCGAUACUGACGCUGAGGAGCGAAAGCGUGGGGAGCAAACAGG
RNAcentral lists this ribosomal RNA (253 nucleotides) under uncultured bacterium. Its description in RNAcentral is "partial 16S ribosomal RNA". It matches the Rfam family "Bacterial small subunit ribosomal RNA", at positions 524 to 776 of the family's 1533-position model. The record is from RNAcentral.